Molecule: transfer RNA, 65 nt
Filed under: Gavia stellata (red-throated loon)
Lineage: Eukaryota; Metazoa; Chordata; Aves; Gaviiformes; Gaviidae
Rfam family: tRNA
About the family: Transfer RNA (tRNA) molecules are approximately 80 nucleotides in length. Their secondary structure includes four short double-helical elements and three loops (D, anti-codon, and T loops). Further hydrogen bonds mediate the characteristic L-shaped molecular structure. tRNAs have two regions of fundamental functional importance: the anti-codon, which is responsible for specific mRNA codon recognition, and the 3' end, to which the tRNAs corresponding amino acid is attached (by aminoacyl-tRNA synthetases). tRNAs cope with the degeneracy of the genetic code in two manners: having more than one tRNA (with a specific anti-codon) for a particular amino acid; and 'wobble' base-pairing, i.e. permitting non-standard base-pairing at the 3rd anti-codon position.
Source: Rfam by way of RNAcentral
GGCCUCGUGGUGCAUCAGCAGUGCGUCUGACUCCAGAUCAGAAGGUUGGGGGUCCCCCGAGGCUG